Molecule: ribosomal RNA, 460 nt
Filed under: uncultured bacterium
Lineage: Bacteria
Description: partial 16S ribosomal RNA
Rfam family: Bacterial small subunit ribosomal RNA
Source: RNAcentral
CCUACGGGAGGCUGCAGUGAGGAAUAUUGGUCAAUGGACGAGAGUCUGAACCAGCCAAGUAGCGUGAAGGAUGACUGCCCUAUGGGUUGUAAACUUCUUUUAUAAAGGAAUAAAACGAGGCACGUGUGCCUUUUUGCAUGUACUUUAUGAAUAAGGCUCGGCUAACUCCGUGCCAGCAGCCGCGGUAAUACGGAGGAUCCGAGCGUUAUCCGGAUUUAGUGGGUUUAAAGGGAGCGUAGAUGGGUUGUUAAGUCAGUUGUGAAAGUUUGCGGCUCAACCGUAAAAUUGCAAUUGAUACUGGCAGUCUUGAGUACAGUUGAGGUAGGCGGAAUUCGUGGUGUAGCGGUGAAAUGCUUAGAUAUCACGAAGAACCCCGAUUGCGAAGGCAGCUUACUAAACUGUGACUGACAUUGAUGCUCGAAAGUGUGGGUAUCAAACAGGAUUAGAUACCCGGGUAGUC